CAGCUGAUCGGCGUUAGGACUGAUAAUUGGCGUUGCAGUUCAUUCAGUCUGUACUCACGCUCAACCCGGUGUGCAGCCACUUGGUGCAGGGCCAGUCCUAGGAAUUCUGGGCCUCCCCCUGAAAGAGUAUCGUUCUGGGCCUCUCCACCCAAUGUUGAUGCGUGGAUUUUUCUUCCAAGAUGCAGCAGGAACUCUGGAGGCUAAGGUGCAGGUUUUUCUUGGCACUCCAAGGCAUGUUGUGUCAAGCCAUCAACUUUUCCUGCCAGUUGGGCGCCGUGCACUCCCCACGGUUAGUGAUUGAUGACUACGGCGUGAACACAGCCACUGAGGAGCACUCCUCGUGCUGACCAACACUAAACACUCCAGGAUGUCAUACCACUAAUGUCAAGACAAGAGGAAGACGCUGAUUUUCUUUUACCUUGAUAAAGUGAUAUUAGGCACACGUAAAUUGGGGAAAGGUACAAAAUGUUAGCUGAACUGAAAGACGACUGAGAUCAUGUUCACACACGUACAGUUAUCUUGAAAAUGCAUGUUUCUAUUCGCGUACGUUUUUGUCCUUCAAAACUGAGCUUUUUUUUUAAGAAGAUCUUGUUUGUAUGCGAACAGGCAAAACUAAUGUACCGUACUACUGUAAUGUAAUGGAGGUGUACCCAUUGAAGAACCAGGUUAUCAUAGGCAACGUUAUCACAGCAUGGUAUGAUGCCUUGUUUGAAUUUUGUGUUGAAUCCCAUGUUUUAAAUAUUCAUUCACAUCAAUAAAAACAACAAUAAUUUUCUAAUGUGAACGGAGUGGAACUGACCUACAUGUGUUGAGUUGAGUUGAAUUUAAAGGGGAACAUUAUCACAAUUUCAGAAGGGUUAAAACAAAAAAAAUCAGUUUCCAGUGGCUUAUUUUAUUUUUCGAAGUUUUUUUCAAAAUUUUACCCAUCAUGGAAUAUCCCGAAAAAAGGCUUUAAAGUGCAUGAUUUUCGCUAUCUGUGAAGCCACCGUCCAUUUUCCUGUGACGUCAUCCAGUGAUGCCAAUACAAACAAAAUGGCGGAUAGCACAGCAAGAUAUAGCGACAUUAGCUCGGAUUCAGACUCGGAUUUCAGCGGCUUAAGCGAUUCAACAGAUUACGCAUGUAUUGAAACGGAUGGUUGGAGUAUGGAGGCAGAUAGCGAAAACGAAAUUGAAGAAGAAACUGAAGCUAUUGAGCGAAUAGCUAUUGACGCUAUUCGGCGAGCGCCUUCUAACCAACGAUUGAGUGCCAUAUCUGCCUUAGAAUCGCCAGUAAAAUGUGCAGACCAAACGAUCGGGACUUUUGCAUCUUGUGACACUGGAGCAACUUAAAUCCAUCUAUUGGUAAGUGUUUGUUUGGCAAUAAAUGUGGGUGGAGGGAAAGGCUGGAUGCAAAUAUAG
Nerophis ophidion (straightnose pipefish) is the source of this 1398-nucleotide long non-coding RNA. RefSeq lists it as uncharacterized. Lineage: Eukaryota; Metazoa; Chordata; Actinopteri; Syngnathiformes; Syngnathidae. The record is from RefSeq and is a predicted model, not a curated record. The transcript is spliced from 3 exons.